AAUGCAUUUGCUUUCAGCCGCAGAGAGAAGAAGCUGCCCAAGAAUGGAAAGGAAGAAAUAUAUCACAUCAUCUGUCUGUCCACAGGCUUUCCUUGGGGCUUAUGAAGUGAAUGAAGGAGGGAAGAAAGGAGAGACAGAGAAAAUAUGGAUUUCCUCAUGGUUGUGAUUCCUCUUCACUCUUUUGAAUUUGGAAGGAUGGCAUACACAUCUGAAAAAUACCACUACUUCCUUCAUUGGACUGCAAGGUAUUUCUGUUUGGAAAAGUAAUGGAGUCCAGUCAACUUCAUUGAUCGCCAAGGACUGUCAAAAUUAUAAAACUUGCUGUGGAGCUCUGACAUGCCAGAAGCCGCUAGAAAAAGAAGUUUGACAUUCAGAAACUUAUCAAGAGGUUCUACUCUUUGGAUAGAGACCAAAAUCAUACUUUGAAAAAGCCUGACAGGUUUCUUCGGAAAAGUGGCCAUCCAUGGAAUGAAUGAAAUGUUCUCUUUCUAUUCCAGGGAUUGCAGUGGCAAAGCUAGGCUAGGUCUUGGAGGCUGGUGUAAGGCGAUGUGGGUGAAGGCAGGAGGCUGAUGGAAAGACUGGGGGGAAGAAAAGCCGAAAUGGAUUCACGGUGCCUUGGAUGAAGGACGAGAGGGGAACUGCAAGCUCCUUCAACUGGUUCUGUCCGGUGAGAAGUGAUCAAGCUUGGGCUGACAAGAGGCUCAGGGAGCCCUCACGUUCUUUCGCUUUUUUACCUGCCAAUCAAACUGCUACAAGACAACACCCUGAUCUGGCAUGGACAUCGCGGGUCCAAGCCUGUAGCCCCAAAUCGGAUAAUCUCUGCAGCUGAUAACAAGCAAAAGAGAAGCCAGGCAACAGCCAUAUUAAAGAAGAAAACAAUCAACUCUGAGAUCCAACUUAGAAAUAAUGUUUCAUUCAAGAUAAGGCUCGUGGCUUAGGAGAUUGUGACCUGGCUUGCAUCAUUCUAAGACUUCUAUCGUCUGUUUUCAAAACCCAAGGAGGACCUCCUUUUCUGUGUGAUAGUUCCUCAUGCUUUGCCAGCCACUGGGUCUUUAAGGAAGCUUGCCAAGAGUUCCCGGCUGGGAAGGACAGUUCGAGUUCAUCAUAGACAAUGAGCUGGCACCACAGUUUAAGUGACUCACCAACCUGGUUGCCCACUUCAAAAUGUCAAGAACCACACUAUCUAAUUGAAAGAACUGUGUUUUAGCAAAGUGUAAUUGGAUCGCCUGGCAAGAUCAUCUCAAACUAUGUCUCUGACCUUGCCUUUCAGUGGCUAUUUUGAGCACAAGAGGAGAAAGGAAAUGAUUCCUGAAUUAUAUCUUGUUUUUAAAAAUUAAGAUUAAUUAAUACUUGGUUUUAUGUUCAUUCCAUUGUAGGAACUUAGUGAUUAUUACAAAACAGUCAAAAUAGGUCAUAGCAAAAUGAACGUUUAAGAUUAGGUUAAAACAUUCCUCUGAAAUUUUAGUAUUCACUUUUGAAGUGUCAAUUACUAUAUUUCUGUAAUUUCUCAUUUUUUUCUUGGCUUAGAGUCAAGAUGAAAAAUGAUAUUUGAAUCAAAGACAUUGUUUUGUUAUAUAGCCACUCCUUUCUAAAAUGCAAAUCCACCCUCCCCUCACCAAUGCUUUAUUCUUUGUGCGCGCACACACACACACACACACACACACACACACACACACACACAGACAUACACAGAACCAGCACCCAAAUGGUAGAGGAGGUCCUUCCAAGACUUCUAGGACCUGGAUCAUGUAAGCAGUAGAUGAGAAAAUGAAGUAAGAGAUAUAGAGUAAUAACAAUAAAAGUCAAUGAUUUCAUUUUACAAAAAAGUCAUUGUGUAGUACUCAGAUAUUUUUAAGAGCAAGUAUUAUUAUGACUAAAGUAUAUUAUACUUCUAAAUUAUUAUGAUUCUCAUCUAAUUUCAAGCCACACAUAGGCGCCAUUUGAAAGCAUUUUGUGUUACAACCUAUCAACAAAAAUCAACUAAUAGUUUUAUAACGUGCAUAGGUUUACCCCAUGGGGAAUUAAAAUUUUUAUCUGCAAGUAUUUCUGUUGUUGUGAGACUUUAGGACAAGACAACAUUUGGUGUUAACAUAGAAGAAUAUUCUAUGGCUUUUUUAGCUUUAAAGUUCAUUACUCUAAAAUAAAGUACACGUGGUAUUUUUUUCUUCCUAGUGUUCUCUUAUUAUAUGUAGAGUAUUUUCGGUUGUUGUUUUUAACGUAUACAUUAUUUUUAUUAAGUCAUUUCAUAAAAGAUAAGAUAUAUACUAAUAGACCCUUGGUUUUCUCCUAAUUUAAUUAUUUCAAGUCAAGCAAAAUUGGGCAAUUUUCUUUCAGGAAAAAAAAAAUAUUGAGCAUGAUUUUGAGGUAAAACUGAUUAUUUACAGCAUCUUUUCUCUAAUAGGCUAACAUUUAUGAUGGAUCUUAUUUCAAAGUUGAUUAUUCUCAAAGAAAAGUGGAGAUAUUAGAAUUUCCGAGUAAAUUGCAUUGUUUUAAAAAGUACUUUAAUGCAUUGUUCACAUUGUUGCCAGCUAUUGACCAAAAAAGAGAAGAAGAAAAAAGAAAUAAAAAAAGCAGUAUCUGCUCCAAACGUCAAGUUUUGCAGUUUGAAAGACUUGUACAUUAUAAUUGUUUUUUUCUUUUUUGGAAAGCAGUAGUAAUUAAUACCAAAGGCAUAGACAAUUUAGGGCCAUAACCUCCCUUCCCCCCUCUCCACCUUUUUUUUUUUUUUUUUUUUUUUUUAACUUUAACCAUGAUAGGCAUCUCUGCAAGGUAGGUUUUAACAUAUUUUUUUCCUAAUUUUUUUCCCUCCAUUCAGUAAGAAGGAUAAGCUUUUAGAGUACCCAGUCACCGUGGUAACUGCCAAAAAAAUUCUCCUGAAGUUUGAAGAGGUCAGCUAGCAGGGUCAACAACCCUGGCCUCUCUCUGAGCUCGGUCUAGCAUGCCCCAGCCUGCGGUUGGAGUGUCAGGCCAGAUCUGACCCUGGGAGGUGGACCAUUCUGGCUCUGAUAUAAAUUUUUCGAGUCAGUUCAUGGCCUGGACUCUCCAGGUGGCCUCCAAAAUCGAUUUUGACCCCCUGACCCUGUCUCACGGAGGCAUAGCAUCCACCCUAAGUAAGGAUUUAGCCAGGAAUGACAGCUUUCCACUGAGUGUUAUUGGGGACAGUAUAAACAGUUUGGAAAGCAAGUAAGGAGGUGUGAGGGCUAGCAAUCAUUAAAAGCACAUUAAAAAACAAUUUUUAAAAAUCUUUAUUAGAGAAAGUUGUAAAUGCAUAUCUGUUACAGAAUUCCUGUGAUUUGUAGAGUUUUCUAGUCAGUUUUGAAUAUAAAUAGGUCACAUAUCUUUAUCUUUUUGCAUACUUUGUUACAAAUAUGCAAAUAAGAUAGGCAUACUUGCUACAAAAUAGGUACAGCAGGAAUGUAAUAUGUUCAGAAAAGGCAAACUGGUUAUUAAAACACAUUAACAGGUAAGGAGUUUCUAAUAUUUUAAAUACUAAAAUUUUACAUGUGUAUUUUGAAGUUUUUAAAAUGGAAAAAUAAAGAACCUUUAAAAA
RNAcentral lists this long non-coding RNA (3550 nucleotides) under Homo sapiens (human). RNAcentral describes it as "non-protein coding SOX2-OT:85". The stretch from base 507 to 782 matches the Rfam family "SOX2 overlapping transcript exon 3". Lineage: Eukaryota; Metazoa; Chordata; Mammalia; Primates; Hominidae. The record is from RNAcentral.